UAAUAAGAAUAUGCAGAAUAUUAUUAAAUUUUCGAAAUUUAAUAAUCCUCCUUAUAACUAUA
Molecule: transfer RNA, 62 nt
Filed under: Oopsacas minuta
Lineage: Eukaryota; Metazoa; Porifera; Hexactinellida; Lyssacinosida; Leucopsacidae
Description: tRNA-Ser
Source: RNAcentral